RNAcentral lists this transfer RNA (43 nucleotides) under Barisia levicollis. RNAcentral's name for it is "partial tRNA-Met". The record is from RNAcentral. Lineage: Eukaryota; Metazoa; Chordata; Lepidosauria; Squamata; Anguidae.
GGGGCCCAUACCCCGAAAAUGUUGGUUAAACCCUCCUUUAUCA